RNAcentral lists this long non-coding RNA (1870 nucleotides) under Arachis ipaensis. Its description in RNAcentral is "long non-coding RNA (AIPA_LNC001643)". The record is from RNAcentral. Lineage: Eukaryota; Viridiplantae; Streptophyta; Magnoliopsida; Fabales; Fabaceae.
UGACACCUAAUGAAUCUUUUAUAUCCACAAGUCACCAUUAGCCUUAACUAUCUUCAUUUUUUUUCACUCAACACCGAACAUAAACCCAAAAAAAGAAAAAGAAAGGUCGAUAGAGAAUGUGAUGCUUCCAUGGAAACCCUGAGUUUCCGACUCUAAUUUCUUGCGAUCCGUAACUAAAAAAAUCUAAUCCGGUAAAAGUGUUUAUAUUCUUCUCCUCUACGCGUUGGCGUUAUUUUUGUCCGGUAAAAGUUGACGGUGAUGUAGCUCCUCUUCCCCUUGAGUUCGGCUAACUAGAGUUCUAGGAAGCACAGACGAUUUCUGACGCUUUCUUCUUCAGCAGCUCAAUCAGAAAGAAGCUUUCGAGGAUUUUGGUUCCGUACGAAGGUAGGGGAUUUUAUUUUGAAAUUAACUGUUUUAAACUAUGAAUGCCAUGGAAGUCUAGUGGGUAUUUGUAAAUAAUUUAAGAUUGUUUGGAAUGACUAAAUGAUGAAUUUGAGUUGUGGUUGUGACUGAAUUUGAUGAAUAUGUAUUUGAUUUCUUGAUUGAAAAGAGAUUGAAAAUGGUUCAGUUGGGAUCCGAAAAGGGUGGCUAAGUCCGAAUUUUAGGGGAAGUGCUGCCAAAAUUUUAUAAAAUCUGAGGUUUUAUUUGAAAAGUUAUUUUAAAAGAUUUGGUUUUAGAAAAUUAAAUUAUUUGAGAUUUAUUUAGUUGAGAAAAGGUGUGUUCUAUUUUUUUUAAAAACUCGAUUUAUUAAAGAAAAAUAUCAUGUUUUAAAUCUAAUUUUGUAAGGAGAGAUUUUGUUUUAAGUGUUGUUUUGAGCUCAGUUUUUUAAGAAAAGGAAUCUCUGCCACAAGAGAACAGGGAAUAAGAAUUUAAAGAAUAUAUUAACUAAAAGGAUCUCUGCUACAGGAGAGCAGAGAACAAAGAUUAAAGAAAUAUAUUAAAUUAAUGAAAUGUCUGCCACAGGAGAGCAGAUGUGAUAUUGUUUGAGCCUUAGUGGCAAAUGUAAAGUGGGGACGCCCACACACUGAGAACUGUUUUCCAGAUGUACGCUUAUUGAUUUGGAAAGUCACACUGUAUGCGGCCUAGCCGUACGACUUAUAAGCACACUGUAUGCAUCUGGAAAGCCAUAUCUGGGACUUGUGUCCGGAUAAUGUCGGGAGCGGAUAGGCAACCGACACAUGAGCUCAUAGCCUGCAUUAGGGACAGGCAUGCAUCAUAUGCAUUUAUAUGACAUUGUUUGGGUGUGCAUAUUAUAAUUGGUUUGCCUAUGUGAAUAGUUACAUUUAAUUGCUAAUUGUUCUACUUGAUAUAAGUGCUUGAUUGUGUUUGAACCUUCUUACUUGUGUUUGUGGCUGAAAAUUGGUUGGAUUGUGAUGAAUUAGUAGUUGAUUGAGUUGCUUGGGCCUAGGGCCGUGGUUGAUUAUGAGAUGUUGUGGUUGAAAUAUGACUAAUUUUGUGAUUAAAAUCUGUUUUGAGUUAAGAAGUUUAAAGAAAAGUAAUUAUUUAUCUGAAGUAGAGAUAAAAGUAUUUCCAAAGGUUUAACAAAAUAGUUUUAUUGAGUAAGUUAAUUAUUUGUAUUGAAUUCAUUACUUUUACGUCAUUCCCAAUCCCUAUUGAGAACGUGUGGUUUGUUCUCACCCAAAAUCUUCCACCCUUUCAGUGACACAGGUUCGAAGAUUCAGUAAGAAGCUGCAGACGAUUAGUAGAUUUAUUUGUGGUUCCUGUUGUUUUUUAUAGAGUUCCCUCGCCCUUGUUGUUUCAGGGUUUUUAUUUUAUCCAGAGGGAUAGGUAUUGUAUUUGAGUUUUACAUUGAAUUUAAUUGUAUGGCAUCUAUUAUUAUUAAUAAUUAUGUGAUUAUUGUUAUUCGAAG